This 361-nucleotide transfer RNA is filed under the name uncultured Microcystis sp. RNAcentral's name for it is "partial 16S-23S ribosomal RNA intergenic spacer". The stretch from base 136 to 209 matches the Rfam family "tRNA". The record is from RNAcentral. Lineage: Bacteria; Bacillati; Cyanobacteriota; Cyanophyceae; Chroococcales; Microcystaceae.
AAAGGGAGACCUAAUUCAGGUAGGAGACGAAAAAAAAGUAGUCCCUACCAAGAAUCAAUCCCAAAAGGUCGGAGCGAGGCGAAAUUGGCUUUCAAACUAGGUUCUGGGUUCAAACAAGACCUGAGUCAGGAGCAAGGGCUAUUAGCUCAGGUGGUUAGAGCGCACCCCUGAUAAGGGUGAGGUCCCUGGUUCGAGUCCAGGAUGGCCCACCUGCACAGGUGGCAAAAACAAGAGAAGCUCCGAAUCAGCACCUUAUCUUACUGACAUAGUAAGAGAGAAUGCUGGCUCUGAGUAAAGAGUCCAGAGGAACCUUGAAAACUGCAUAGAGCUAGGUGAAAAAGCCAAAAAAGAAGACCGCAAG